Ictidomys tridecemlineatus (thirteen-lined ground squirrel) is the source of this 72-nucleotide non-coding RNA. NCBI's taxonomy places the organism in Eukaryota, Metazoa, Chordata, Mammalia, Rodentia, Sciuridae. The record is from Rfam.
GGGAAUGUGACUCAGUGCUAGAGUGCUUGCCUGGCAUGCAUGAGGCCCUGGGUUCAAGCCUCAGCACUGUUA